This 505-nucleotide ribosomal RNA is filed under the name uncultured bacterium. Its description in RNAcentral is "partial 16S ribosomal RNA". It matches the Rfam family "Bacterial small subunit ribosomal RNA", at positions 28 to 507 of the family's 1533-position model. The record is from RNAcentral.
GACGAACGCUGGCGGCGUGCCUAAUACAUGCAAGUAGAACGCACAGUUUAUACCGUAGCUUGCUACACCAUAGACUGUGAGGUGCGAACGGGUGAGUAACGCGUAGGUAACCUGCCUGGUAGCGGGGGAUAACUAUUGGAAACGAUAGCUAAUACCGCAUAAUAUUAAUUAUUGCAUGAUAAUUAAUUGAAAGGUGCAAUUGCACCACUACCAGAUGGACCCGCGUUGUAUUAGCUAGUAGGUGAGGUAACGGCGCACCUAGGCGACGAUACAUAGCCGACCUGAGAGGGUGGUCGGCCACACUGGGACUGCGACACGGCCCAGACUCCUACGGGAGGCAGCAGUAGGGAAUCUUCGGCAAUGGACGAAAGUCUGACCGGGCAACGCCGCGUGAGUGAAGAAGGGUUUCGGAUCGUAAAGCUCUGUUGUAAGAGAAGAACGGGUGUGAGAGUGGAAAGUUCACACUGUGACGGUAUCUUACCAGAAAGGGACGGCUAACUACGUG